RNAcentral lists this ribosomal RNA (454 nucleotides) under uncultured bacterium. RNAcentral's name for it is "bacterial SSU rRNA". It matches the Rfam family "Bacterial small subunit ribosomal RNA", at positions 335 to 784 of the family's 1533-position model. The record is from RNAcentral.
ACUCCUACGGGAGGCAGCAGUGGGGAAUAUUGCACAAUGGGCGCAAGCCUGAUGCAGCCAUGCCGCGUGUGUGAAGAAGGCCUUGGGUUGUAAAGCACUUUCAGUCGUGAGGAAGGUAGUGUAGUUAAUAGCUGCAUUAUUUGUACGUUAGCGACAGAAGAAGCACCGGCUAACUCCGUGCCAGCAGCCGCGGUAAUACGGAGGGUGCGAGCGUUAAUCGGAAUUACUGGGCGUAAAGCGCAUGCAGGUGGUUGUUAAGUCAGAUGUGAAAGCCCGGGGCUCAACCUCGGAAUAGCAUUUGAAACUGGCAGACUAGAGUACUGUAGAGGGGGUUAGAAUUUCAGGUGUAGCGGUGAAAUGCGUAGAGAUCUGAAGGAAUACCGGUGGCGAAGGCGGCCCCUGGACAGAUACUGACACUCAGAUGCGAAAGCGUGGGAGCAAACAGGAUUAGAUA